CCUACGGGUGGCUGCAGUGGGGAAUAUUGCACAAUGGGCGCAAGCCUGAUGCAGCCAUGCCGCGUGUGUGAAGAAGGCCUUCGGGUUGUAUAGCACUUUCAGCGGGGAGGAAGGCGGUGAGGUUAAUAACCUCAUCGAUUGACGUUACCCGCAGAAGAAGCACCGGCUAACUCCGUGCCAGCAGCCGCGGUAAUACGGAGGGUGCAAGCGUUAAUCGGAAUUACUGGGCGUAAAGCGCACGCAGGCGGUCUGUCAAGUCGGAUGUGAAAUCCCCGGGCUCAACCUGGGAACUGCAUUCGAAACUGGCAGGCUAGAGUCUUGUAGAGGGGGGUAGAAUUCCAGGUGUAGCGGUGAAAUGCGUAGAGAUCUGGAGGAAUACCGGUGGCGAAGGCGGCCCCCUGGACAAAGACUGACGCUCAGGUGCGAAAGCGUGGGGAGCAAACAGGAUUAGAUACCCGGGUAGUC
This 465-nucleotide ribosomal RNA is filed under the name uncultured Klebsiella sp. RNAcentral describes it as "bacterial SSU rRNA". It matches the Rfam family "Bacterial small subunit ribosomal RNA", at positions 338 to 795 of the family's 1533-position model. The record is from RNAcentral. Lineage: Bacteria; Pseudomonadati; Pseudomonadota; Gammaproteobacteria; Enterobacterales; Enterobacteriaceae.